CCCCUCCAUAUUCCUUACUCCUCAGAUAUAGAAAAUUGGUCUGAGUGGCUUAAGAAAGGAGGAAAAAUAAAAGGGAAGUGGAAUUGGAGUUUAAUGACAUACAAGUUCAUUUUAAACACUA
This 121-nucleotide small nucleolar RNA is filed under the name Echinops telfairi (small Madagascar hedgehog). Its description in RNAcentral is "Small nucleolar RNA SNORA61 (ENSETEG00000024858.1)". Lineage: Eukaryota; Metazoa; Chordata; Mammalia; Afrosoricida; Tenrecidae. The record is from RNAcentral.